This is a long non-coding RNA of Zea mays, 737 nucleotides long. RefSeq lists it as uncharacterized. The record is from RefSeq and is a predicted model, not a curated record. The transcript has 2 exons. NCBI's taxonomy places the organism in Eukaryota, Viridiplantae, Streptophyta, Magnoliopsida, Poales, Poaceae.
CCAAACAACUAGUUUUAAUUUAAAACGAACAGUUAGUAUUUUAACUAUUUAUAAGCACGGAGCAACACAACAACGGUGAAAAUUGUGGAGUAACAUAGCUGCCUUUGUACACCAGGCGCCCCGCCGGGAGGGAGGAAGCUGUCGGGAGAGUCAUGCUGCUCCGUGUGGUACCCGCCCCGCGCUCCGUGCCUCCAGCCCCAGGCUGCUUCGUGGGGCGCCCCGCCGGGAGGGAGGUAGCCGCCACCAGGAGGGACCCGCUGCUCCGUGCUUCCGCGGAUCCGGUCGCCUCCGCUGCUCCGUGCCUCGAGUCCACGGAUCCGGUUGCCUCCACUGCUCCGUGCCUCACGGUUAGGGUUUAGGGUUCGGCCGCCUCCAGUCCUCCAGUUGGUCCCGCGGUCUCAUGCACCGCACAUCCUCGGCGGCGGCCUGCUUCUUCGACGGCGCGAUUAGCACGGAUUCACGCAUGUCGCGGGCGAGCGGCUCCUCCGAUGGAGGACAAGGAUGGCCCAUGUAUGGUCCGGUGUCGCUCAUUCGGUGCCCCAAAUGUGAAAGGUCGGAGUCACUUGUUAGACUCAGAUCGAAGAGAUGGGAGAACGAGAAUUUUGGUCGAGAGAUCGUGAAGUGUGAAAGCAGUAUGUCCUUAUUUGCCCAUUACGGUUGAUUUCAUUUUUGUGCUUACUGCUGAAUUGUGGAACUUUAUUUGGAUUGUUUAGGUUCUUAAAUUAUGCAAUUUUUUA